UGCCUUUUGUAUUCGUGUUGAGAUUUCGUCAACAACCAGUCCAUUACAGAUGAUGAAACUUCUCAGAUAAGUGAAGUG
This 78-nucleotide microRNA precursor is filed under the name Trichobilharzia regenti. RNAcentral describes it as "mir-3492 microRNA precursor family". It matches the Rfam family "mir-3492 microRNA precursor family". Lineage: Eukaryota; Metazoa; Platyhelminthes; Trematoda; Strigeidida; Schistosomatidae. The record is from Rfam by way of RNAcentral.